RNAcentral lists this ribosomal RNA (253 nucleotides) under uncultured bacterium. RNAcentral describes it as "partial 16S ribosomal RNA". It matches the Rfam family "Bacterial small subunit ribosomal RNA", at positions 524 to 776 of the family's 1533-position model. The record is from RNAcentral.
GACGAACCGCCCGAACGUUAUUCGGAAUUAUUGGGCUUAAAGGGUGCGUAGGCGGCGCUGUAAGUCGGGUGUGAAAUCCUUCGGCUUAACCGAAGAAUUGCGCCCGAAACUGCAGUGCUCGAGGGAGACAGAGGUAAGCGGAACUGAUGGUGGAGCGGUGAAAUGCGUUGAUAUCAUCAGGAACACCGGUGGCGAAAGCGGCUUACUGGGUCUCUUCUGACGCUGAGGCACGAAAGCUAGGGGAGCAAACGGG